This 328-nucleotide ribosomal RNA is filed under the name uncultured bacterium. RNAcentral describes it as "bacterial SSU rRNA". It matches the Rfam family "Bacterial small subunit ribosomal RNA", at positions 30 to 355 of the family's 1533-position model. The record is from RNAcentral.
AUUGAACGCUGGCGGUAGGCUUAACACAUGCAAGUCGAACGGUAGCAGCUCUAGCUUGCUAGAGGCUGACGAGUGGCGGACGGGUGAGUAACGCGUAGGAAUCUACCUAAUAGUGGGGGACAACCUGGUGAAAACCAGGCUAAUACCGCAUACGCCCUACGGGGAAAGCGGGGAUCUUCGGACCUCGCGCUAUUAGAUGAGCCUGCGUUAGAUUAGCUAGUUGGUGGGGUAAAGGCUCACCAAGGCGACGAUCUAUAGCUGGUCUGAGAGGAUGAUCAGCCACACUGGGACUGAGACACGGCCCAGACUCCUACGGGAGGCAGCUAGU